AUGCUUCUGGGCUGUCCAUUUUUGAUCCAACGACCAUGUUACCUCGUGACCUGCCCCAGCCAUGGCGCCAUGGCCGACGACGACAACGCCGCCGCGCUCUCAGAUGUUGACGAGUACCCCCUUCCGCCCCCUCCCCACACCUCCUCCUCCAAACCCGCACCCCAUCCGCAUCACAGCCCCAACUCCACCACGUCGUGGCGGCGGCAGCGGCUGCUCGACCUGACGGCGGAGCUGGAGGAGGAAGCGCUCCAGGCCGAGGCGGCCACUUGCUCCUCCAUGCUCGCCUCGGGCCUCGAGCGGAUCUCCGCCAAGGCGUCUGCGUCCACCCUGCCCGCCCCGCUACCCACCUCCGGCAAGUACUCCGCCCGCCUGCCUAGCUGCCCGUGCUAG
Molecule: ribosomal RNA, 390 nt
Filed under: Triticum aestivum (bread wheat)
Lineage: Eukaryota; Viridiplantae; Streptophyta; Magnoliopsida; Poales; Poaceae
Description: partial small subunit ribosomal RNA
Source: RNAcentral